Molecule: long non-coding RNA, 1221 nt
Organism: Podarcis raffonei (Aeolian wall lizard)
Lineage: Eukaryota; Metazoa; Chordata; Lepidosauria; Squamata; Lacertidae
Exons: 2
Source: RefSeq, a predicted model, not a curated record
UCCGCCAACACGAGAAAUGGCUGCAGCUCCGUAAUAGAGCACAACUGUGGUGUAAUUGCUAGAUUGUUGGACGAGGACCUGGGUUCAAAUCCCCCACUCAACCAUGAAGCUCACGCCUUAGGCCAGUUACAGCCUCUCAGCCUAACCUAACUCUUAGGAAUGUUGUGAGGAUAAAACGGGGGAGAGAGUUGUACGUGCCAUCUUGAGCUACUUGGAGAAAAGUUGGGAUAUAAGUAUAAUAAUAAUUUAACAAAUAGAGACAGCACCUGGCUCAGUCCUAUUAAAAGGAGGAUCCGGGUGGCAGGUGAUGUGAGAGAGCUUCUGCCUGAGAGACUGUUCCAAGUUAGUGGAACAAAUAGACUGAGCUUACAUAAGGGGCAGCCCCCUGUUUCCCCUUCUUACAAAACAGCCCUGCAUGGUAGGCCAGUAUUGCGGUUUCUGUGUUGCAGUGGGAUGGCUGAGGUCUGGAGAAAACUAGCCUGUCUAGGGCCUCAUCCGCAGCACAUAUUAAAACCAGUAAUAUACCGCUUUAUAAACAGUUGUGCCUUUCCCCAAAGAAUCCUGGGAACUGUAGUUUGUUAAGGGGAGCUGGGAGUGGUGAGGAGACCCAGCUAUUCCCCUCACAAAGUGGUCUUAACAAUAAAUUUGCAGUGGGGUUUCACAAUCAAUUCCUUUUUUCAAGGAACUCUGUGAGGGGGAAUAGGGGGUCUCCUAAAAACUCCCAGCACCCUCAACAAACUACAGUUCCCAGGAUUCUUUGGGAGAAGCCACGGCUGUUUAUAAAGUGGCAUGUUGCUGCUUCAAAUGUAUAAUACAGAUGAGGCCACGGCUAGUGAGUUUAAGAUGGAGGAGGAGGAGGGGAGAUUUCAGCGGAGGACUUCCUGACUGAGAGCACAGUUGAUUUAAUCGCUGCACCUUGCCAGCCCCCUCCUCCCCAUUUGUGCCCCUUUUAACUUUCAGCAAAGAAGCCUGUGAAGGGCAUUACUUUCCUUUCCUGCUUGCCAUUCUCCUAGAGGGCAGCAAGAAGUUGAAUAGGCCUCUACUUUUGCUGCUUCAGCGGUAUGGGGUGACUCAUGUGUCUGCACACACGCUGCCAUGCGCUUUUUAUGAAUGAGCAUGCAACUGAAUCAGCCGACGGGAGCUGGCUUGGCAGUCUGCAGGUCUUGCGUGAAAGCUAAACCCACACACAUUACCGAUUCAUUAAUAAAAGAAAAAACCUGA